AUGAUCAAACAGCAACAGUGGGACCUGUGGGCUCCUGUGGCCAACACCCAUGAGGGUCAUAUCACCAGCAAUAUGCAGCUUUCUGCCUACGUAGACCCUGCCCUGGAACUGGGCCCCUGCAAUGUACUGCUGCUCCUGCAGGACAAGAUAAGCAUUGAGGAUUUCAGAGCAUAUGGUGGUUUGUUUGAAAUAAGCAGGACAGUGCCUUUUCUAACCUGGAGAGUUCCCUGGACUUGAUCCCCUCUUCACAGGAGGAGGGGCUUCCUCCUGUGGACUGCUGUGCAAUCAGCACUCUGACCACCUACCUACAGGGGAAGCUUGGGACUAGUCCCCUGAAUGUGGGUCUAACUACCCUAAAGGAGCUGAAGUUUAAUGUCAGCCUUCCUAACUUGCUGCCCAUCUGUCUGGCCUAACAGCCAGCUCCAGUUUAAGGGUGCCCAGAGAGGUCAUCACAGGUAAAGAUGAUUCCAUCAGACAUGUGUUGAGCACACUCAAGUCUGAACAUGUCCCUUACACCAUAGUUCUUACUUCAGUCUGCCCUUCUAGAGUGGCCCAUGGUAUAGCCAUGGUGGCUGGGAGUCUAGGUUGCCAGCUGCUUCAGACUCAGGUGGCAUCACUUGUGAUCCAUUCUCCUGUGAGUUACAAUGACAUUGCCCCAAGGAUCCUGAUUUGGGCACAAAACUUCUCUGUGGCAUACAAAGACGAGUGGAAAGUCUUGACCUCCCUCAACUUUGGUGUUGAGAAUCUUAACUUGACCAGCUCCAUCUGGAAUGACUCCUUUACCAUGCUUUCACUGACCUAUGAGCCACUCUUUGGUGCAACAGUGACAUUCCAGUUCAUUCUGGCUAGUCGCUUCUACCCAGUAUCUGGCCAGUAUUGGUUUACCAUGGAAUGACUUGGAAUCCAUGGCAAUGGCUCUGUUGCUCACUUCAAUGUUUCCCAAGUCACAGGACCUAGGAUCUAUUCUUUCCACUUUGAGUAUGUUAGCAGUCUGAGGAAGAAAGGCAAUCUCUUUCUGACCAAUGUGCCCUCACUCUGGCAGAUGACUCUUCAUAACUUCCAGAUCCAGGCCUUCAAUGUGACUGGUGAAUAGUGCUUCUAUGCUAGCAACUGUUCU
Molecule: non-coding RNA, 1117 nt
Organism: Mus caroli (Ryukyu mouse)
Lineage: Eukaryota; Metazoa; Chordata; Mammalia; Rodentia; Muridae
Source: RefSeq, a predicted model, not a curated record